UUUAACCCUCCCGGCGCACGCAACCUCUCCUUCCCCCUGCUCGAAUCCUCGUUCCUCUCUGCCGCCGCCUCUCGCUCCUCUCUUGAGCCCUUACCCUCGACCCGCAAAGCGUCAUGGCCGUUGCCGGGAUAGGGCCGGGUAGUGUAGGCGAGGAAGAGAGGGUUGGCUGCGUUUGGCGUCCCUGAAGUAUCAGGGGAGGGCGGGACGCCGGGCGAGGGUGGCGUGGAGUUCCGUGGCCAUGGUGGUGGGAGGGGUGGCUCCUUGUUCUCGUGCAACCACAAUAUCCGACGGCAUCCCACGGUGCUCCGUCGGCCUGGGCUGCCCCGCAAGGUUCUUCUCCGGCGACAACGUGAUAGAGUUCGGCUGUAACAAGGCAUGGCACGGACGUGCACAGGGCAAGCCAAGUUCAAUCCGGGCCGCCGAUUCCUCAUCGAGUAGGUCGACCAAUCGAUCCAUGGCAUCGUCGAGUCCGCCAUGGUCUGACCUCCCACGUGACAUCAUAGGCCUCGUCAUCGACCGCCUCCCGUAAGUCGUCGCCGCAGCUCCUGGUCGGCGGCGUGUUCUUGGAUGCUACGAUCGCUCCUAGCUAGACAGCUUUCCGGUGGCAGACUCCGACGACCGCGCUCACUUCCGCACAGCAUAUCGUUCCUGGAGCACUAUCGCCCUGUGAGCGAUAUCACUUCUUGAUUCCACAUGGUAAUAUAAAUGGGAAAUGUUUCUGUACGACACGCCGGCCGAGUGAUUUGGCCGGUUACAUGUUGGGCGUUGGAUUAAACACGAUUUAACCAAUCAUUUGUUUUUUCUGCCACAUAUUUUUCUCAUCUGAACCUUAUCUCUUCCGCAGUGCUCCGCCUCGGCUUCUCCGCCAUAGCCUUAGCAGCUUCGAGCAGUCCUUCCUUCGCACCUUGCGCCGCACCUCCUCCAUGGGACGCUGCUCCCAUGGAUCGUCACCCCGAGGCACUGCUACGACAUGGCGCCAUGGCCUUUGAGCUCAUAGGUCAAGGCCGCCACGGCUUACGAGCUCGGGGCGAACAGAGACGGAGGACAGCUACGAGCUGCUGUGGGUGCCAUGGCCUAUAAGCUUGGGGUGGACGACGACAUGGAUGACUAUGAGCUGCUAUUGACGACAUCGUCGAGCAUUUUGCUACGGGGAGAAUCUCAUCGGAGCUGGGAGCACAACCGACACCUCCCAUGUUACAACCGGUGUUCCAAAAAGCUGCCACAGGCACCGCAAGAAGCUGCAACCAACGACGUCAAAUGCUGGAACCGACCAGCAUCAUAGCAAAAAGCUACAACCGGCUUUCAAAAAAGCUUCAACCGGCGUCCCAAAAAGCUUCAACGAUGACGACAAAUGCCAGGGCUGGUUACUGUUAAUACCAAAAAUGAUGCAACCGCAUUGCAAAAAGUUACAACCGGCAUCGCAAAAAGCUUCAACCAGCAAUGAAGGAAAUCAUGGCCGAACGUUGAUGAAAGCUGCAAGCGACCAAAAAAAAGCUUCAACGACGAACGAGGGAGCUUCAUCCACGAUCAGGAGAUGCUACAACCAUGGUUGGCAUUACUGGAGCGGUUGCGGAGAUGCUUCAAUCAUGGAUGGUCUUUGCUGGAUGUCCAGCGUUGCAGGAGGGAGAAAGGAAGGAGGAAGACGCUGGGAAGAGGGACGGCGUGCAGCAACAGUGAGCCAACGAGCGGCGCGACGGGAGCUGCAAGUGGGAGGUCAUGCGGGGGCGACUAGCAAGCAGGCGCCGUGUGAGAAGAAGAAGACGCCUUGCAAAAUUAAUCGUACGGUUACGGACGUUCGGAUCGUGCGGCUGCCAGACGGCCGGCAAAAAGUUUUGGACCAGCGUGUCGGCACAGAGUACUCGUCAAUAUAAAUUGAUUCACAAGGAAACUAAUGCAAGGCCACACAAUAGGUUUUUCGAUAAUGUGCGUUUGGUGGGAGAAGAAGUUUAUGUCGACUACAAAGGCGUCCAUGGCGACUAUACGCUGGCUCAAUUUCUUAAAGGUGUCCACAUAGAUAGGUUAUGCGUGUCUGCGUUCAUAGCGGUGAGUGUAUGUGCUUAAGUAUGAGCGUAUGCAUUUGUACCAUGUUAAAAAUACAUACUAGAAUAUUUAUAUUCUGUUGUAACGCACCGAUAGUUACCUAGUUAAGACAAAAUGAAAGUGUCAUUUUUGUUAUAAGCAAAAGGAAGAGUAAAUAAAGAAUGCAUAUAAUCCCAAUAUCAGGCGCGCAUCAUAAAUGAAAAAAAAGGUAAGUCAUCAUGCAUGGAUAUAGAAGAAAAAACAAAGAAAUGGCUCAAAUUAGGGACAAAAGACAGUAUUAUCAGUAAAGGUAUGGCACAUCCAUAAAUCUAUUAUAGUUUCCUCACAUAAAAAUCAUGUUAUGACUAGUUUUUAUUUGUUUAUGCGUGCAGUUCCAUGGAAGAAGCAGGGGGACACUCGGGGUGACAGGUGGGGCAUUUGUUCCUGCACUCAUCCUCCGAACUGAAGCACUUUUUGUCCGGCAGAAUGUCACAGCAGAAGCAGGUUUUCCAAAGGCCAUCAGCAUGACUACAUCCCGCCUUGAUGCAGAAUUUUAUGGAAAGCUUGCUCUCGUCUAGUGACGAUGUCGUGUUGACCAUAGUAGCUGCUCCGGCGGCACGAUCCUCUAGGUAGGAGCUCCUUGUUCCAGCAUCAAAA
This is an RNA transcript of Hordeum vulgare subsp. vulgare (domesticated barley), 2676 nucleotides long. RefSeq lists it as uncharacterized. Lineage: Eukaryota; Viridiplantae; Streptophyta; Magnoliopsida; Poales; Poaceae. The transcript is spliced from 3 exons. The record is from RefSeq and is a predicted model, not a curated record.